AAACUUUCAACAAUGGAUCUCUUGGUUCCGGCAUCGAUGAAGAACGCAGCGAAAUGCGAUAACUAAUGUGAAUGCAGAAUUCAAGUGAAUCAUCGAGUCUUUGAACGCAAAUUGCGCCCCCUUGUUAUUCCGGGGGCAUGCCUGUCCGAGCGUCAUU
RNAcentral lists this ribosomal RNA (157 nucleotides) under Aspergillus niger. RNAcentral's name for it is "5.8S ribosomal RNA". It matches the Rfam family "5.8S ribosomal RNA". Rfam says of the family: 5.8S ribosomal RNA (5.8S rRNA) is a component of the large subunit of the eukaryotic ribosome. Lineage: Eukaryota; Fungi; Ascomycota; Eurotiomycetes; Eurotiales; Aspergillaceae. The record is from RNAcentral.